UAACAAGGUUUCCGUAGGUGAACCUGCGGAAGGAUCAUUAGUGAAUAUUAGCGUGUCUUUGCUUCGUGCAAGAGCGUGACCUCCACUUUCUAACUCUGUGCACUAUAUGGCGGAAUUGAAGAGAGCAGUCUCUAAAGUUCCGCGGCUCAUUUUAAAACACUAGUUAAAGAAUGUAACGAAAUAUCGAAACAAAAAAAAACUUUCAACAACGGAUCUCUUGGCUCUCGCAUCGAUGAAGAACGCAGCGA
This 248-nucleotide unclassified non-coding RNA is filed under the name uncultured fungus. Its description in RNAcentral is "partial contains 18S rRNA, ITS1, 5.8S rRNA". The stretch from base 198 to 248 matches the Rfam family "5.8S ribosomal RNA", at positions 1 to 51 of the family's 154-position model. Lineage: Eukaryota; Fungi. The record is from RNAcentral.